CUCCUUCCAGUUAAAUGGUGAACGAGAUGGAUCUUUAUAUCAGCAACAGAAUGAACAUCGAGGCACAAACCUUUCCAGGAAAGAGAAGAAAGAUGUGCCAAAGCCUAUUAGCAAUGGUCUUCCCCCAACACCUAAAGUACAUAUGGGUGCAUGUUUUUCAAAGGUUUUUAAUGGGUGUCCCUUGAAAAUUCACUGUGCAACAUCCUGGAUAAACCCAGAUACACGAGG
Molecule: long non-coding RNA, 228 nt
Filed under: Marmota marmota marmota (Alpine marmot)
Lineage: Eukaryota; Metazoa; Chordata; Mammalia; Rodentia; Sciuridae
Description: lncRNA (ENSMMMG00000016646.1)
Source: RNAcentral